RNAcentral lists this ribosomal RNA (484 nucleotides) under uncultured bacterium. Its description in RNAcentral is "partial 16S ribosomal RNA". It matches the Rfam family "Bacterial small subunit ribosomal RNA", at positions 28 to 505 of the family's 1533-position model. The record is from RNAcentral.
GAUGAACGCUGGCGGCGUGCCUAAUACAUGCAAGUCGAACGCUGGAGAUCUAGCUUGCUAGCUCGAAGGAGUGGCGAACGGGUGAGUAAUACAUAAGCAACCUACCCACGAAGACUGGGAUAAUCUCUGGAAACGGGGACUAAUACCGGAUAGGUAAUCGGAAGGCAUCUUCUGGUUAUUAAAGGUUAAAAACACUGGUGGAUGGGCUUAUGGCGCAUUAGUUAGUUGGUGAGGUAACGGCCCACCAAGACGAUGAUGCGUAGCCGGCCUGAGAGGGUGAACGGCCACAUUGGGACUGAGACACGGCCCAGACUCCUACGGGAGGCAGCAGUAGGGAAUUUUCGGCAAUGGGGGCAACCCUGACCGAGCAACGCCGCGUGAGUGAAGACGGCCUUCGGGUUGUAAAGCUCUGUUGUAAGGGAAGAACGGUAGAUAGAGAAUAUCUAAGUGACGGUACCUUACCAGAAAGCCACGGCUAACUACG